This 255-nucleotide ribosomal RNA is filed under the name Gilliamella sp. wkB308. Its description in RNAcentral is "partial 16S ribosomal RNA". It matches the Rfam family "Bacterial small subunit ribosomal RNA", at positions 1 to 254 of the family's 1533-position model. The record is from RNAcentral. Lineage: Bacteria; Pseudomonadati; Pseudomonadota; Gammaproteobacteria; Orbales; Orbaceae.
UUAAAUUGAAGAGUUUGAUCAUGGCUCAGAUUGAACGCUGGCGGCAGGCUUAACACAUGCAAGUCGAACGGUAACAUGAGUGCUUGCACUUGAUGACGAGUGGCGGACGGGUGAGUAAGGUAUGGGGAUCUGCCAAAUGGAGGGGGACAACAGUUGGAAACGACUGCUAAUACCGCAUAAAGUUGAGAGACCAAAGUACGGUUCCGCAAGGACGUGCGCCAUUUGAUGAACCCAUAUGGGAUUAGCUAGUUGGUG